Molecule: ribosomal RNA, 622 nt
Filed under: Akkermansia muciniphila
Lineage: Bacteria; Pseudomonadati; Verrucomicrobiota; Verrucomicrobiia; Verrucomicrobiales; Akkermansiaceae
Description: bacterial SSU rRNA
Rfam family: Bacterial small subunit ribosomal RNA
Source: RNAcentral
UGGCGGCGUGGAUAAGACAUGCAAGUCGAACGAGAGAAUUGCUAGCUUGCUAAUAAUUCUCUAGUGGCGCACGGGUGAGUAACACGUGAGUAACCUGCCCCCGAGAGCGGGAUAGCCCUGGGAAACUGGGAUUAAUACCGCAUAGUAUCGAAAGAUUAAAGCAGCAAUGCGCUUGGGGAUGGGCUCGCGGCCUAUUAGUUAGUUGGUGAGGUAACGGCUCACCAAGGCGAUGACGGGUAGCCGGUCUGAGAGGAUGUCCGGCCACACUGGAACUGAGACACGGUCCAGACACCUACGGGUGGCAGCAGUCGAGAAUCAUUCACAAUGGGGGAAACCCUGAUGGUGUGACGCCGCGUGGGGGAAUGAAGGUCUUCGGAUUGUAAACCCCUGUCAUGUGGGAGCAAAUUAAAAAGAUAGUACCACAAGAGGAAGAGACGGCUAACUCUGUGCCAGCAGCCGCGGUAAUACAGAGGUCUCAAGCGUUGUUCGGAAUCACUGGGCGUAAAGCGUGCGUAGGCUGUUUCGUAAGUCGUGUGUGAAAGGCGCGGGCUCAACCCGCGGACGGCACAUGAUACUGCGAGACUAGAGUAAUGGAGGGGGAACCGGAAUUCACGGUGUAGCA